This 76-nucleotide small RNA is filed under the name Flavobacterium noncentrifugens. RNAcentral's name for it is "Flavo-1 RNA". It matches the Rfam family "Flavo-1 RNA". The record is from Rfam by way of RNAcentral. Lineage: Bacteria; Pseudomonadati; Bacteroidota; Flavobacteriia; Flavobacteriales; Flavobacteriaceae.
AUUUAGCCCGGAUGGGAGCGGCAUCCUUUUGUGUAGCGAAGCGGAAUAAAAGAUAUAGCGGACAGCCGGAUUAGCU